AUUGAACGCUGGCGGCAGGCCUAACACAUGCGAGUCGAGAGGAUGAAGGGAGCUUGCUCCUGGAUUCAGCGGCGGACGGGUGAGUAAUGCCUAGGAAUCUGCCUGGUAGUGGGGGAUAACGUCCGGAAACGGGCGCUAAUACCGCAUACGUCCUGAGGGAGAAAGUGGGGGAUCUUCGGACCUCACGCUAUCAGAUGAGCCUAGGUCGGAUUAGCUAGUUGGUGGGGUAAAGGCCUACCAAGGCGACGAUCCGUAACUGGUCUGAGAGGAUGAUCAGUCACACUGGAACUGAGACACGGUCCAGACUCCUACGGGAGGCAGCAGUGGGGAAUAUUGGACAAUGGGCGAAAGCCUGAUCCAGCCAUGCCGCGUGUGUGAAGAAGGUCUUCGGAUUGUAAAGCACUUUAAGUUGGGAGGAAGGGCAGUAAGUUAAUACCUUGCUGUUUUGACGUUACCAACAGAAUAAGCACCGGCUAACUUCGUG
RNAcentral lists this ribosomal RNA (484 nucleotides) under uncultured bacterium. RNAcentral describes it as "partial 16S ribosomal RNA". It matches the Rfam family "Bacterial small subunit ribosomal RNA", at positions 30 to 507 of the family's 1533-position model. The record is from RNAcentral.